CCUGGUGGCGAGUGGCGAACGGGUGAGUAAUACAUCGGAACGUGUCCUGUAGUGGGGGAUAGCCCGGCGAAAGCCGGAUUAAUACCGCAUACGCUCUACGGAGGAAAGGGGGGGAUCUUAGGACCUCCCGCUACAGGGGCGGCCGAUGGCAGAUUAGCUAGUUGGUGGGGUAAAGGCCUACCAAGGCGACGAUCUGUAGCUGGUCUGAGAGGACGACCAGCCACACUGGGACUGAGACACGGCCCAGACUCCUACGGGAGGCAGCAGUGGGGAAUUUUGGACAAUGGGGGAAACCCUGAUCCAGCAAUGCCGCGUGUGUGAAGAAGGCCUUCGGGUUGUAAAGCACUUUUGUCCGGAAAGAAAACCUCUGGGUUAAUACCCCGGGGGGAUGACGGUACCGGAAGAAUAAGCACCGGCUAACUACGUGCCAGCAGCCGCGGUAAUACGUAGGGUGCAAGCGUUAAUCGGAAUUACUGGGCGUAAAGCGUGCGCAGGCGGUCCGCUAAGACAGAUGUGAAAUCCCCGGGCUUAACCUGGGAACUGCAUUUGUGACUGGCGGGCUAGAGUAUGGCAGAGGGGGGUAGAAUUCCACGUGUAGCAGUGAAAUGCGUAGAGAUGUGGAGGAAUACCGAUGGCGAANGCAGCCCCCUGGGCCAAUACUGACGCUCAUGCA
This 673-nucleotide ribosomal RNA is filed under the name Paraburkholderia sp. Its description in RNAcentral is "bacterial SSU rRNA". It matches the Rfam family "Bacterial small subunit ribosomal RNA", at positions 84 to 753 of the family's 1533-position model. The record is from RNAcentral. Lineage: Bacteria; Pseudomonadati; Pseudomonadota; Betaproteobacteria; Burkholderiales; Burkholderiaceae.